Molecule: ribosomal RNA, 245 nt
Filed under: uncultured Eubacteriales bacterium
Lineage: Bacteria; Bacillati; Bacillota; Clostridia; Eubacteriales
Description: uncultured Clostridiales bacterium partial 16S ribosomal RNA
Rfam family: Bacterial small subunit ribosomal RNA
Source: RNAcentral
CACGCCGUAAACGAUGAGCACUAGGUGUCGGGGUCGCAAGGCUUCGGUGCCGCAGUUAACGCAUUAAGUGCUCCGCCUGGGGAGUACGCACGCAAGUGUAAAACUCAAAGGAAUUGACGGGGACCCGCACAAGCAGCGGAGCAUGUGGUUUAAUUCGAAGCAACGCGAAGAACCUUACCAGAGCUUGACAUCCCUUUGACCGGUCCGUAAUGGGACCCUCUCUUCGGAGCAAAGGUGACAGGUGG